UACAUAGGGAGCGAGCGUUAUCCGGAUUUAUUGGGCGUAAAGCGUGCGCAGGCGGUUAUGUAAGACAGGUGUGAAAUCCCCGGGCUUAACCUGGGAACUGCAUUUGUGACUGCAUAGCGAGAGUACGGUAGAGGGGGAUGGAAUUCCGCGUGUAGCAGUGAAAUGCGUAGAUAUGCGGAGGAACACCGAUGGCGAAGGCAAUCCCCUGGACCUGUACUGACGCUCAUGCACGAAAGCGUGGGGAGCAAACAGG
This 253-nucleotide ribosomal RNA is filed under the name uncultured bacterium. Its description in RNAcentral is "partial 16S ribosomal RNA". It matches the Rfam family "Bacterial small subunit ribosomal RNA", at positions 524 to 776 of the family's 1533-position model. The record is from RNAcentral.